RNAcentral lists this ribosomal RNA (569 nucleotides) under uncultured bacterium. RNAcentral's name for it is "partial 16S ribosomal RNA". It matches the Rfam family "Bacterial small subunit ribosomal RNA", at positions 355 to 919 of the family's 1533-position model. The record is from RNAcentral.
UGGGGAAUUUUGGACAAUGGGCGAAAGCCUGAUCCAGCAAUGCCGCGUGUGUGAAGAAGGCCUUCGGGUUGUAAAGCACUUUUGUCCGGAAAGAAAUCCUUGACUCUAAUACAGUCGGGGGAUGACGGUACCGGAAGAAUAAGCACCGGCUAACUACGUGCCAGCAGCCGCGGUAAUACGUAGGGUGCAAGCGUUAAUCGGAAUUACUGGGCGUAAAGCGUGCGCAGGCGGUUUGCUAAGACCGAUGUGAAAUCCCCGGGCUCAACCUGGGAACUGCAUUGGUGACUGGCAGGCUAGAGUAUGGCAGAGGGGGGUAGAAUUCCACGUGUAGCAGUGAAAUGCGUAGAGAUGUGGAGGAAUACCGAUGGCGAAGGCAGCCCCCUGGGCCAAUACUGACGCUCAUGCACGAAAGCGUGGGGAGCAAACAGGAUUAGAUACCCUGGUAGUCCACGCCCUAAACGAUGUCAACUAGUUGUUGGGAUUCAUUCCUUAGUAACGUAGCUAACGCGUGAAGUUGACCGCCUGGGGAGUACGGUCGCAAGAUUAAAACUCAAAGGAAUUGACGGGGU